RNAcentral lists this ribosomal RNA (509 nucleotides) under uncultured Glomus. RNAcentral describes it as "SSU rRNA". It matches the Rfam family "Eukaryotic small subunit ribosomal RNA", at positions 569 to 1081 of the family's 1831-position model. Lineage: Eukaryota; Fungi; Glomeromycota; Glomeromycetes; Glomerales; Glomeraceae. The record is from RNAcentral.
GGCAGCCGCGGUAAUUCCAGCUCCAAUAGCGUAUAUUAAAGUUGUUGCAGUUAAAAAGCUCGUAGUUGAAUUUCGGAAUCAAGGUACCGGUCAUGCUUUUUGUAUGUACUGACAUCAUUGAUUUCUCCCUUCUGACGAACCAUGAUGUCAUUAAUUUGGUGUCAUAGGGAAUCAGGACUGUUACUUUGAAAAAUUAGAGUGUUUAAAGCAAGCUCACGCUUGAAUACAUUAGCAUGGAAUAAUGAAAUAGGACGUUUGAUCCUAUUUUGUUGGUUUCUAGGAUCGACGUAAUGAUUAAUAGGGAUAGUUGGGGGCAUUAGUAUUCAAUUGUCAGAGGUGAAAUUCUUGGAUUUAUUGAAGACUAACUACUGCGAAAGCAUUUGCCAAGGAUGUUUUCAUUAAUCAAGAACGAAAGUUAGGGGAUCGAAGACGAUCAGAUACCGUCGUAGUCUUAACCAUAAACUAUGCCGACUAGGGAUCGGAUGAUGUUAAUUUUUAAUGACUCAUUC